AGCCGCGGUAAUUCCAGCUCCAAUAGCGUAUAUUAAAGUUGUUGCAGUUAAAAAGCUCGUAGUUGAACUUCGGGAUCAAUUAGUUGGUCAUGCCUUGGUAUGUACUGAUUUUAUUGGUUCUCACCUUCUAAAGAACUAUAAUGUCAUUUAUUUGAUGUUAUAGGGAAUUAGGACUGUUACCUUGAAAAAAUUAGAGUGUUUAAAGCAGGCUCACGCUUGAAUACAUUAGCAUGGAAUAAUGAAAUAGGACAUCGCAUUCUAUUUUGUUGGUUUCUAGGAUCGAUGUAAUGAUUAAUAGGGAUAGUUGGGGGCAUUAGUAUUCAAUUGUCAGAGGUGAAAUUCUUGGAUUUAUUGAAGACUAACUACUGCGAAAGCAUUUGCCAAGGAUGUUUUCAUUAAUCAAGAACGAAAGUUAGGGGAUCGAAGACGAUCAGAUACCGUCGUAGUCUUAACCAUAAACUAUGCCGACUAGGGAUCGGAUGAUGUUGAUUUUUUAAUGACUCAUUCGGCACCUUACG
Molecule: unclassified non-coding RNA, 518 nt
Filed under: uncultured Glomeromycotina
Lineage: Eukaryota; Fungi; Glomeromycota
Description: SSU rRNA
Rfam family: Eukaryotic small subunit ribosomal RNA
Source: RNAcentral